GCUCUGGACCACUUUGCUGGAGGAGAGAAAGGGAGAGAGAGGUUGGCAGAGAUGCCUUUGGUCUGAGGCUGCCCUGGUGGCUCCCUCCGCCCCUCUGGGUCAGGAUGGAAAAGGAUCCCCCCAUUCACAGGAGGCACCGGCCUGGUCCUGGAGCCCUGCCUUCAGGAAUAACCCCUGGAUACCUCAAGGUGGCCAGUGAGGGGGCUGAUCUCCAGAGGAGCAGGAGUGUGGGUGGCUUGCACCAGAAGGGGGAUCCACCAGUCUGCAUCAGGAAACUACUACACUCUGAGGAUCCAAGAAACGACACUGAUGACAUCAUCUGUCAGGUGAGCCUAGAGGAAGACAGAAAGAAAAAGAACCAGGAUGAGCCCGGAAAACUGGACCCAAAGUGUGGGAAAACGGAGCCAGAGAAGAGUGGCUCAGAGGCCAGCGCCACAGAACAAGAUGAUACCCACAAAGGAAGAUGUACCUCAGUGGCCGAGGGACAAGAGCCAGAGUCCAUGAAGCUGAAUAACCUUCUAGAAAAACAGAAACCAUCUGUGUUUGUGGAGAUCGACCUGGGAGACCAUAUUGAAGAGGAGGUGGUCACCUGUGCCGUAAGAGAAGAGAAGAGGCUUCCAAUGGACACAGGGGACUUGUCAGAGGAUGAGACAAGGACCAGCUGGGUAUGCUGCAUCCCAUAUUCCACAAAGAAGAAGGUAAAGGAAGCUACCAGUGCUUUGGAGAAGAACCACCAGUGGUCUCAGGACAGGACCUAUCUGACUCAGCCACUGGUAGAGCUCUCUGGGGACUAAGGGAAGACAGCCCAGGCCUGGGACAGCUUCAUGAUCCCCCCUCCAUGGGCAGGGUCAGAGUGACAGCAGCCGACGGAGACCCACUGCAGGGACCCUCCUCCAACCCAAGGCCAAUCACAGUCCUAGGCACCAACUAUGCAGGACCAACGGGCAUGCCACCCCACCGGUGUCACAGAACGUAAGCUCCAGCUAAUUGCUCACUAAAGGAAAACAACACCGUGUGAAUGCCUCGCUGGAGUUACGAUGUCAUACGUAGGCAACCUCCAGGCCGCAGCUGGAGAGGAGAAAGGCCAAAGUCACCUCUGAACUGUCCCCUCCCUGCACCCAUAUCCUUGCACACACACACAUACCCCAAGCCUUGGGCCACAGCCUUCCUUAGUACCUCUACCUGGAAGCCUGGUUCUCUAAGGAUGCUUGGGGAUGUGAACUCCCCCAAUGACUUUCCCAUGUGUGACCCCCCCAUACACACACACACCAAAAAAAAAACCCCAAAAAACAAAGCAAAACAAUUCCUCAAACAUGUAACUCUGAAGCCCUGAGUACCUGCACUCAUCAAGGACAUGGUGAGUUCAUGGAAGACAGAGGUUAGCAGAAGCUUGA
RNA transcript from Peromyscus leucopus (white-footed mouse), 1394 nucleotides. It is a transcript of the gene named chromosome 17 C13orf46 homolog, with no coding region annotated. NCBI's taxonomy places the organism in Eukaryota, Metazoa, Chordata, Mammalia, Rodentia, Cricetidae. The transcript is spliced from 9 exons. The record is from RefSeq and is a predicted model, not a curated record.